GGAAAGGCACCACCAGGCGUGGAGCNUGCGGCUUAAUUUGACUCAACACGGGGAAACUCACCAGGUUAACACAGAGAUGUUUUACACGUCUGGGCCUGGAAUAGCGAACGAGCUUCGCUAGUACUGCAGUUAAUCCAUGAGGGGAAGUCCCCAUUUUCGGGCAUGGAGGCGCGAGCCUUUGCAGUGCGACACCAGCUGGUACAGGGGACGCUAGAACUCAGGACCCUCCUGAGAUGCCAAUCCUGUGGCGAGCUCAGGUAACGCUGAGCCGUCGCAACGCACGCCAAGCGGUGGGUCGCGAGUCGCCCUUGACUCGUGGCUUGAGGUACGUGCUAAUCCCAUGAGAAAUCAUGCUCCCACGACUAGGCCCGAAUGCCGAAGCGUGGGGGGUCGUGCGGACCGCGAGGUUCGACGAUGGCCGCCCGGGGCACGUCAUUGUGCCCCGGGGGAGUAGAUGCCAGACACAGUAAGGAUUGACAGAUUGAGAGCUCUUUCUUGAUUUUGUGGUUGGUGGUGCAUGGCUGUUCUUAGUUGGUGGAGUGAUCUGUCUGCUUAAUUGCGAUAACGAACGAGACCUUAACCUGCUAAAUAGCCAGGCCAGCUUUGGCUGGUCGCCGGCUUCUUAGAGGGACUAUCGGCUCAAGCCGAUGGAAGUUUGAGGCAAUAACAGGUCUGUGAUGCCCUUAGAUGUUCUGGGCCGCACGCGCGCUACACUGACAGAGCCAACGAGUAAUCCACCUUGGCCGAAAGGUCUGGGUAAUCUUGUUAAACUCUGUCGUGCUGGGGAUAGAGCAUUGCAAUA
This 802-nucleotide ribosomal RNA is filed under the name uncultured fungus. Its description in RNAcentral is "partial 18S ribosomal RNA". It matches the Rfam family "Eukaryotic small subunit ribosomal RNA", at positions 1158 to 1591 of the family's 1831-position model. Lineage: Eukaryota; Fungi. The record is from RNAcentral.